GGGAAGUUCAACUUGACUUAUGCACCUGGAGAAGGCAGUUCCCCAAAUGGAUCACAGACUUAAAGGACCACUCUAGGCAUCCAGACCACUUCAGCUUAAUCCUCUAAAUCCUCUAGUGGCUGUCUCAUUGACAGCCGCUAGAGGAGCUUGCGUGAUUCUCACUGUGAAAAUCACAGUGAGAACACGCAAGCGUCCAUAGGAAAGCAUUACGAAUUCCUAUGAAACCGGCUGAAUGCGCGCGCAGCUCUUGCCGCGCGUGCGCAUUCAGCCGAAAGGGAGGAGAGGAGGCGGAGAGCACCCUCAGGGCACUAUAGUGCCAGGAAAACAAGUAUGUUUUCCUGGCACUAUAGUGGUCCUUUAAAUGGGUGAAAAUUAACGCUGUUAUACCACUUUUUAAUAAAUUCACAUUAGGCUUGCUAAUGCCUUUUUCUCAACACUUUCCGCAAUCCUUGCUUUUUUAAGUGGGCGUGGCGUGGGUCACUAAAUUAGAAACAGUGCAACAUUUUAAUUAGAGGUCAAACUGAACAGUCAGUUAUGUUGAAAUGUGAUAUAAUGGUAAUAUUUUUUUAUUAUCGUCACUUACAUACUUGUAUUGAUAUAUUGUCACACCGUCUUUAUGUUGGUUUAUUGUUUAACCCAACUACAUUGUUAUAAACUAGAAAAUAAAGUGCACUAUGUCUUAAAGACAAUAAAUAAAUACCUUACAAUGAAAGUGUAAUUUACAUAAAACAAUUAGUGCAAUAAUAUGUUAUACCCAAAGUGAAGUGGGUCCACAAAUUGAAAACUCUAGCGCGACAUGGUCUUAAUAUAGAAAUGGAUGUUCCUGUACCGCGGACCGGAGCGGAGCUUGACCACGCUACACUGAGUGACUGACAGGAGGGAGCACUUAUCCCUCUUUCAUGCGUGCCCGGGCCGGUGUGCCCUCAUGGACACGCCAGUCCGGGCAGUGCUGCAGCCGCCUGAGACUCUCUAUAGAGCGCUUAGGCGGCUGCAGCAUUUGAGGGGUCAGCGCUCCAGCCCUGUAUACACAUAGUGUGUUUUUUGCACUGGCACACAUUGGCACUUUGGGUAUAACGC
Pelobates cultripes (western spadefoot toad) is the source of this 1077-nucleotide non-coding RNA. Lineage: Eukaryota; Metazoa; Chordata; Amphibia; Anura; Pelobatidae. The record is from the annotation of a GenBank genome assembly.